AAAAUCGAGUUAACUCCCAACCCCAAUGUGAACGUUACCAAUCUGUUGCCUCGGCGGGAUUCUCUUGCCCCGGGCGCGUCGCAGCCCCGGAUCCCAUGGCGCCCGCCGGAGGACCAACUCCAAACUCUUUUUUCUCUCCGUCGCGGCUCCCGUCGCGGCUCUGUUUUAUUUUUGCUCUGAGCCUUUCUCGGCGACCCUAGCGGGCGUCUCGAAAAUGAAUCAAAACUUUCAACAACGGAUCUCUUGGUUCUGGCAUCGAUGAAGAACGCAGCGAAAUGCGAUAAGUAAUGUGAAUUGCAGAAUUCAGUGAAUCAUCGAAUCUUUGAACGCACAUUGCGCCCGCCAGUAUUCUGGCGGGCAUGCCUGUCCGAGCGUCAUUUCAACCCUCGAACCCCUCCGGGGGGUCGGCGUUGGGGAUCGGCCCCUCACCGGGCCGCCCCCGAAAUACAGUGGCGGUCUCGCCGCAGCCUCUCCUGCGCAGUAGUUUGCACACUCGCACCGGGAGCGCGGCGCGGCCACAGCCGUAAAACACCCCAAACUUCUGAAAUGUUGACCUCGGAUCAGGUAGGAAUACCCGCUGAACUUAAGCAUAUCAAUAAGCGGAGGAAUUCCGAGUUUCCACUCCCAACCCCAUUGUGAGGUUACAAUCUGUUGCCCGGCGGGAUUCUAUGCCCCGGGCGGUCGCACCCCGGACCCAGGGCCCGCGGAGGACAACUCGAACUCUUUUUUUGUCCAGCGUUCCGGCGGGGUUUUUUAAUUUGCUUGAACUUUUUGGACACCUAGGGGGAUCCGAAAAGAAACAAAAUUCACAAAGAAUUUUGGAUGGGC
RNAcentral lists this ribosomal RNA (828 nucleotides) under Trichoderma longibrachiatum. RNAcentral describes it as "eukaryotic LSU rRNA". The stretch from base 224 to 377 matches the Rfam family "5.8S ribosomal RNA". The record is from RNAcentral. Lineage: Eukaryota; Fungi; Ascomycota; Sordariomycetes; Hypocreales; Hypocreaceae.